CAGGAUGAACGCUAGCGGCGCGCUUAAUGCAUGCAAGUCGAGCGAUGAGGCCCUUUCGGGGGUACAUCAGCGGCAGACGGGUGAGUAACACGUGGGUGACCUACCCUAAAGACGGGGAUAACCCUCGGAAACGGGGGCUAAUACCGGAUAGCUACAGCGUACGGGGGUAUGUUGUAGAAAGCUACGGCGCUUUAGGAGGGGCCUGCGGCCCAUCAGCUAGUUGGUAGGGUAACGGCCUACCAAGGCAAAGACGGGUAGGGGGUGUGAGAGCACGGCCCCCCACAAUGGGACUGGAACACGGCCCAUACUCCUACGGGAGGCAGCAGCAGGGAAUAUUGCGCAAUGGGCGAAAGCCUGACGCAGCGACGCCGCGUGAGUGAAGACGGCUUUCGAGUUGUAAAACUCUUUUCUGGGGGAAGAGGAAGGACGGUACCCGAGGAAUAAGCGUCGGCUAACUACGUGCCAGCAGCCGCGGUAAGACGUAGGACGCGAGCGUUAUCCGGAUUUACUGGGCGUAAAGCGCCUGUAGGCGGCUUUGUAAGUUGGGCGUGAAAGCCCCGUGCUUAACGCGGGGAGGCCGUUCAAUACUGCGGAGCUAGAGUACGGCAGAGGGGAGUGGAAUUCCUGGAGUAGCGGUAAAAUGCGCAGAUAUCAGGAGGAACACCAGUGGCGAAAGGGCGGCUCNNCCUGGGCCGGAGAACUGACGCUCAGAGGCGAAAGCUAGGGGAGCGAACAGGAUUAGAGACCCUGGUAGUCCUAGCCCUAAACGAUGGAUGCUAGGUGUGGGGGCGAUGAGUUUCCGUGCCGGAGCAAACGCGAUAAGCAUCCCGCCUGGGGACUACGGCCGCAAGGUUAAAACUCAAACGAAUUGACGGGGGCCCGCACAAGCAGCGGAGCGUGUGGUUUAAUUCGAUGCUACACGAAGAACCUUACCUGGGUUUGACAUGUAGGUGGUAGCGAGGCGAAAGCUGAGCGACCCUUCGGGGAGCCUACACAGGUGCUGCAUGGCUGUCGUCAGCUCGUGCCGUGAGGUGUCGGGUUAAGUCCCGUAACGAGCGCAACCCUUGCUCCUAGUUAUACGUGUCUAGGGGGACUGCCGGCGGGAAGCCGGAGGAAGGUGGGGAUGACGUCAAGUCAGCAUGGCCAUUAUGUCCAGGGCUACACACACGCUACAAUGGCCAGUACAAAGGGUAGCGAAGCCGCGAGGUGGAGCGAAUCUCAGCAAAGC
Molecule: ribosomal RNA, 1228 nt
Filed under: uncultured organism
Description: bacterial SSU rRNA
Rfam family: Bacterial small subunit ribosomal RNA
Source: RNAcentral